UCAAAUAACCUAUUCGAAAACAUAAAAUUCUAAGUACCAACAGCAUACAACAAUACCAAAAAUCAACCCACCCGAGUUGCACGAUCUUUGUCCUCUCUCGCGUCUGAAACUCAGAUGAAACCCGGAAAUCCCUGCAGUCACCCGAUGCAUCCUCCAUUCUCUCUUCCUACGAAGACCAUUGGAGAGGUGAGAUGUUGAGAUCUCGUGCCUAGAUCGUCCUUCACUCAAAAUCAACGCCUCACCAUUCAAAUUUUUACACUAACCAAUGGGAAAUCCCUAUCUUUUAAGGGAUUUUGAAAAUUCUCAAAAAUCCCACAUUGUUUGUUCUCAGAUUUUUGGGAAUUUUUGGGUUUCUAUAUAAACCCUCUUCAUUCGCUGUUUCAGGAGAGGAUUUUCGGAGACCAAAGAGUACCCAUAAAAUUUUGGAAAUUCUUGGUUCCAUAGUUUAAUAUUUUUAAAACCUUUUUGUGAUUGUUUGAGUUUAGAGGGGUGGUGGAAUCGUCUCGGUUAAACUUGUCGUCCGGUUCGCUGCGGAAAGAGUCCAAAUUGGACUCCCAUCCCUGGAACAUUCCUCUUCUUGUGUCAACCUCCUUCAAAGUUUGGAGAUGGAGAUAAUAUUAUUCGGUUAAAAUCCCAAGGCAGCAAUUUAGUAGCAAAGUAGCAGCAGUCCCAAAGGGAUCAAAAUUGGGAAUUUUGAACUAUAAUGAAUCUAAUUCAUACAAUAACAGGUUGCAGCAUUCACAACUGACAAAAAUGGGAAUAUUUUCUUUAGAUUUUGGAGUUCAAUUUGAUCGUGGCAGCAACAAAGAGUAUUUAGGCCAAGGGCCUAGAUCCUCACUAUUUAUUAUCUUGGUUAUAUGUUCUUAAUUUGUUUUUGUUUGGAAAUGCUAACAUUUUCUUCGAUUAACUUAGAUUAAUCCUUUGGAGGUUUUCGAAUGGCUAUUCUAUUUCGUCAUUUGUUUA
Solanum pennellii is the source of this 963-nucleotide long non-coding RNA. RefSeq lists it as uncharacterized. The record is from RefSeq and is a predicted model, not a curated record. The transcript is spliced from 2 exons. NCBI's taxonomy places the organism in Eukaryota, Viridiplantae, Streptophyta, Magnoliopsida, Solanales, Solanaceae.